CCUAUGGGUACGGGGGACAGAUUAACAGGAUUAGAUACCCUGGUAGUCCACGCCGUAAACGAUGGGCACUAGGUGCCGGGGGGAACGACCCCUUCGGUGCCGCAGCUAACGCGUUAAGUGCCCCGCCUGGGGAGUACGGCCGCAAGGCUGAAACUCAAAGGAAUUGACGGGGGCCCGCACAAGCGGUGGAGCACGUGGUUUAAUUCGAAGCAACGCGAAGAACCUUACCUGGGUUUGACAUGCUGGUGAAAGCCCGGUGAAAGCCGGGCCCUCCUUCGGGACACCAGCACAGGUGCUGCAUGGCUGUCGUCAGCUCGUGUCGUGAGAUGUUGGGUUAAGUCCCGCAACGAGCGCAACCCUUGCCCCGUGUUACUAACAGGUAAAGCUGAGGACUCUCGGGGGACUGCCGGCGUCAAGCCGGAGGAAGGUGGGGACGACGUCAAGUCAUCAUGGCCCUUACGCCCAGGGCUACACACGUGCUACAAUGGCCAGGACAGAGGGCUGCAAGACGGCAACGUGGAGCGAAUCCCAUAAACCUGGUCUAAGUUCGGAUUGCGGGCUGCAACUCGCCCGCAUGAAGCCGGAAUCGCUAGUAAUCGCGGAUCAGCUACGCCGCGGUGAAUACGUUCCCGGGCCUUGUACACACCGCCCGUCACGCCAUGGAAGCCGGGAGUGCCCGAAGUCCGUGUCCUAACCCGCAAGGGAGGGAGCGGCCGAAGGCAAGCUCGGUGACUGGGGCGAAGUCGUAACAAGGUAACCAAUCU
RNAcentral lists this ribosomal RNA (764 nucleotides) under uncultured bacterium. RNAcentral's name for it is "bacterial SSU rRNA". It matches the Rfam family "Bacterial small subunit ribosomal RNA", at positions 746 to 1506 of the family's 1533-position model. The record is from RNAcentral.